CCAGUGACGUUCAACGGCCGCGGUAUUCUAACCGUGCAAAGGUAGCGUAAUCACUUGUCUUCUAAAUAAAGACUAGUAUGAAAGGCAUCACGAGAACUAAGCUGUCUCCUUUUUCCCAUCAAUGAACCUAAUCUCCCCGUGAAGAAGCGGGGAUAAAAAUAUAAGACGAGAAGACCCUGUGGAGCUUAAAACAAUUUUAUGUUUUUGGUUGGGGUGACCGCGGAGAAAAACUUAUCCUCCGUAAUGAAAAAUAAGUUACAACUUUACGCAUUAAAAAAUUAACAUACCGACCCAAAUGUAUUGAUCAAUGAACCAAGUUACCCCAGGGAUAACAGCACAAUCCACUUUGAGAGCCCCUAUCGACAAGUGGGCUUAUGACCUCGAUGUUGGAUCGAGGUAUCCUAGUGGUGCAGCCGCUACAAAGGUU
This 427-nucleotide ribosomal RNA is filed under the name Pristimantis martiae. RNAcentral describes it as "partial 16S ribosomal RNA". It matches the Rfam family "Bacterial large subunit ribosomal RNA", at positions 1914 to 2573 of the family's 2925-position model. The record is from RNAcentral. Lineage: Eukaryota; Metazoa; Chordata; Amphibia; Anura; Strabomantidae.